Molecule: long non-coding RNA, 675 nt
Organism: Bombyx mori (domestic silkworm)
Lineage: Eukaryota; Metazoa; Arthropoda; Insecta; Lepidoptera; Bombycidae
Exons: 2
Source: RefSeq, a predicted model, not a curated record
ACCGGCGCUCAAAUGUCAAAAGAAAUAAAUGUAGUUGAAACAUUGAAAUAUGCAAGCGAUUUAGUGACUGAUUUUAGUUUUGAAAACUCAAUAAAUUUCUAAGCGACGAAGAAUAAUUGAUAAAACAAACAAUGACGUUUGAAAAACAUCACCUUUCAUAUGGUGAAAAACUGUUGCGCUAUACAUUCUGUUAUUUGAGAAAUUGUAUAACAAAAAAAGCAAUGAAGAAGACAUUUAUUGAAAUCAUUACGCAGAAAAACUUCGCCUAACUCUCUCUGGAAUUACUUAUACUUCCGAAACGUUAAUGUGAAAGUUUUCUGCCAAAAACUUGGUUUAGUAGAAUUAUUACCUACAUAAAAAUAUAAGGAUUCUCGUGAAAGUUCUAAGCGAUAAAAGAAAAAAUAGAGUAAGAAAAACAGGUGAAAUCCGUAAACAAGGAAUAGUGAAGAAUAGUAAACUCCGAAGCACCUAGAAGCAGACUCCUUACCUACAUUUUGGUAGUUUUAAUGAACGAGCCAUUUAUACUGAGCAAAGUUUUGUUAAAUUUACAAGAGUUCUUUUUAAGGUUCACGAUAAAGUAAGAUAUCCAAAAUGAAAAGUAUUUUAAGUGGUAUAUCGAUGUAGUUUUUUUAAUAAUUAAAGGUAGCAUUCAGACUAUCGAAAUAAUACCCAAAA